This 282-nucleotide ribosomal RNA is filed under the name uncultured soil bacterium. RNAcentral's name for it is "partial 16S ribosomal RNA". It matches the Rfam family "Bacterial small subunit ribosomal RNA", at positions 26 to 321 of the family's 1533-position model. The record is from RNAcentral.
AGAUUGAACGCUGGCGGCAUGCCUAACACAUGCAAGUCGAACGGGAGUAGCAAUACUCUAGUGGCGGACGGGUGAGGAAUACGUAGGAAUUUGCCCUUAAGUGGGGAUAACCCGGGGAAACCCGGAUUAAUACCGCAUGACCUCGAAAGAGCAAAGUGGGGGAUCGCAAGACCUCACGCUUUUGGAGAAGCCUACGUCGGAUUAGCUAGUUGGUGAGGUAAUGGCUCACCAAGGCGACGAUCCGUAACUGGUCUGAGAGGAUGAUCAGUCACACCGGAACUG